This is a long non-coding RNA of Gavialis gangeticus (Gharial), 769 nucleotides long. RefSeq lists it as uncharacterized. The transcript has 2 exons. The record is from RefSeq and is a predicted model, not a curated record. Lineage: Eukaryota; Metazoa; Chordata; Crocodylia; Gavialidae.
UUGCACCCUGACCUAAUACCAGUGUGCUCUCUUCCUUUUCAAUCUCGUUGCUGAGUAAGAAUAACACUGUUAACAGUGUCCUUGUAAUCAACUAAACACACUAAAAUAUGAUAUAGACAGUAUGCAUGUGUGCCAAAGGGAAACUGCUACAGUAACCAGCACAGAGGCUUGCUAAUGGCAGUCUUCGUUCCUCAAAGCAAUGAGCGCCUGUUUCUUGAAAAAGAAAAGAAAAGAAAAGAAAAGCCUUUUUGGCAUGAAAAUUGCUUAUCUCCAGCCUCCAAAUCAUAAAUCAUUCACAAAGAUAGCGGCGACUCCAGCCUUCGAAUGUUACUUUGUUAACAACACAAAUGGGUACAAACAGAAAGGAAGAGAAAUUAACAUUUGAACCAUAUUGUUUCUGGAGGGCUGGGAGAACCCUUGCAAGUCAGCCUUGUCUUAGUGAUGUAACUCCUGGACUAGGACGAGUUGGUCAUGAACUCUGUUUCCCUGUUUCAGAACCGAAGUCUUCCUGUAGGUUGUUCUGGUUAGGCCAACUGUUUCUAAACCAAAAUGGGGAUAGAAAAGCAUUUUUCCUUUUCUCUUUUGGCACUCACUUCAAUUAGCAUAUUUCCUUCUUUAGUAUGGAUCCCUUGAGUUUAGCAUCCCUACACUUAACAUUUUUGACUGCAUAUACAAUUCUGUGCUCUAACUGGGAAUUUGCUUGCAACGUUAGCACUUUACUAAUGAUUCAACUUUUUUCCCUGAUAAAUAAAUACUAAGCCCAAAUGCU